UCCUCUCUUUUGCAGCGUUCUCCGUCGACUCUCUUCUCCUCGUCUCUCUCUCCCUACAACUUGCACUACUCCAUCACGAUUUGAUUCCGAGCACCACUCCAUCAAGGCCAAAGUUCGUCGCGACGAGCAAGCGAGAUCUGAUCUUCUACCCUCUUGACGAGCGAGCGAAUCCAAGAUCCGAGCAAUCCGAGCGCUUUGUCCCGAUAGGCUUCGAGGAAGGCGAGCAAAGACUCUUCCUCUGCCUCCCCCCCUCUCUCUCUCUCUAGAACUGCAUCCCUCGCUUUCUCUCUCUUC
Molecule: long non-coding RNA, 294 nt
Filed under: Eucalyptus grandis
Lineage: Eukaryota; Viridiplantae; Streptophyta; Magnoliopsida; Myrtales; Myrtaceae
Description: long non-coding RNA (EGRA_LNC007441)
Source: RNAcentral